AUACUUACCUGGCAGGGGAGAUACCAUGAUCUUGAAGGUGGUUUUCCCAGGGCGAGGCUUAUCCGUUGCGCUCCCGAGUUGCUGACCCCUGCGGUUUUCCCCAAAUGUGGAAAACUGCGUUAGCGCUC
Molecule: small nuclear RNA, 128 nt
Filed under: Microtus ochrogaster (prairie vole)
Lineage: Eukaryota; Metazoa; Chordata; Mammalia; Rodentia; Cricetidae
Description: U1 spliceosomal RNA (ENSMOCG00000005668.1)
Rfam family: U1 spliceosomal RNA
About the family: U1 is a small nuclear RNA (snRNA) component of the spliceosome (involved in pre-mRNA splicing). Its 5' end forms complementary base pairs with the 5' splice junction, thus defining the 5' donor site of an intron.
Source: RNAcentral